CGASGAUGAAGWCCWUUCGGGGUGGAUUAGUGGCGAACGGGUGAGAAUACGKGGGCAAUCUGCCCUGSACUCUGGGACAAGCCCUGGAAACGGGGKCUAAUACCGGAUAACACCCUCUCUCGCAUGGGAGGGGGUUGAAAGCUCCGGCGGUGCAGGAUGAGCCCGCGGCCUAUCAGCUUGUUGGUGAGGUAGUGGCUCACCAAGGCGACGACGGGUAGCCGGCCUGAGAGGGCGACCGGCCACACUGGGACUGAGACACGGCCCAGACUCCUACGGGAGGCAGCAGUGGGGAAUAUUGCACAAUGGGSGAAAGCCUGAUGCAGCGACGCCGCGUGAGGGAUGACGGCCUUCGGGUUGUAAACCUCUUUCAGCAGGGAAGAAGCGAAAGUGACGGUACCUGCAGAAGAAGCGCCGGCUAACUACGUGCCAGCAGCCGCGGUAAUACKUWKGGSGCARGCGUUGUCCGGAAUUAUUGGGCGUAAAGAGCUCKUAGGCGGCUUGUCACGUCGGUUGUGAAAGCCCGGGGCUUAACCCCGGGUCUGCAGUCGAUACGGGCAGGCUAGAGUUCGGUAGGGGAGAUCGGAAUUCCUGGUGUAGCGGUGAAAUGCGCAGAUAUCAGGAGGAACACCGGUGGCGAAGGCGGAUCUCUGGGCCGAUACUGACGCUGAGGAGCGAAAGCGUGGGGAGCGAAACAAGGAUUAGAUACCCUGGUAGUCCACGCCGUAAACGGUGGGCACUAGGUGUGGGCAACAUUCCACGUGUCCGUGCCGCAKCUAACGCAUUAAGUGCCCCGCCUGGGGAGUACGGCCGCWAGGCUAAAACUCAAAGGAAWUUGACGGGGGCCCGCAYMAGCGGCGGAGCAUGUGGC
RNAcentral lists this ribosomal RNA (868 nucleotides) under Streptomyces sp. RNAcentral describes it as "partial 16S ribosomal RNA". The record is from RNAcentral. Lineage: Bacteria; Bacillati; Actinomycetota; Actinomycetes; Kitasatosporales; Streptomycetaceae.